Molecule: ribosomal RNA, 600 nt
Filed under: Triticum aestivum (bread wheat)
Lineage: Eukaryota; Viridiplantae; Streptophyta; Magnoliopsida; Poales; Poaceae
Description: partial small subunit ribosomal RNA
Source: RNAcentral
AUGGCCUCGCACCUCGACUUUCGCUACCUCGACGAGGGCCUCGGCGGCGAGCGCGGCAAGCGCAAGCGCCGGGAGGAGGAGGCAGAUGCCGCCGAUUCCAUGGAGCUCGACGCCGACGCGCCCCGGCCGUCCAAGCUCCGUGCAGUGGCCUCCCAGUCCGACCCGUCCAAGCCGGCGGCCUUCGGGUCGCCCACCUACGACGGCGUCAUCGCCGGGCGCGUCUCGGGGCGGACAUGGAAGGAGCCACGCACGCGCCGCUCCUCCGCGCUGAUGGUGUCCCGGAAGCCCGUCCCUCUGGAGCAGCGCGUGAGGGACAAGUCCCUGAAGAAGGCGUAUCAGGCGCGCGUGGCGGAGCUCAAGGACGAGAUCCGGCAGAACAAGGUCGCCAAGCGCAAGCAGAAGGAAGAGCGGGAGAAGCGCAAGAAGGAGAACGUGCUGCGCACCGGCUCGAAGCUGCAGAAGGUCACCAACCCCAAGACGAUCCAGAAGAUCGCCAAGUCCAAGAACCGAGGUCAGCUCAGGGUCGUCUCCGACGACAUCUUCGGCGGCAAGAAGUCCGAGGCCGCCCGCCGCAUGCAGGUGCCCGGCCUGGAGAACUGA